UUUUCCUGUCAAUUGUGUGAUGAUCUUUCAGAGAACAAAUUACUCUAUAGAAGGCUGGCCUUAUUCGUAUAUUUGGCGGUCAGAAUAAUUCAUGAAACAGAGAACAAAGUGCAUGCAGCCUCGCAUGCGACAUAUCUUCCCACUCAGAUCGGGCCAUUGGCAGCAACUGACCCCUCUAUCGUCAUUUGACUUUGUACAUUCCACUGAGCUACACAAUAUCUGAAACAUACCAACCCAAACCAAAGAUAUAUCUUUUGACAUCGCAAACCAUAGUGUGAAUGAUAUCAACAAGACGAGAGGUUGAAAGGGCUUGCAUCAUCUAGUAAUGAUCAAACGAACAACGCUAAGAGCAUCACAUAGACAACAAUGUCAAUGACUACCAAAAAGUACCAACUUGCUUCAAGCAUGUGUUAGUUUAAGCUGCGCAAGAGGCAGUCAUGCCAUGUUGAGGCUCAAGCAUCGAGAGAACCAAGGAGGCUGCUUUAUCCCAUCCUCCCUCAUUCGUUCCUCGAUCCCAUGUUGGAAUCUCAUAUCCCGGACCGGACACUGCCCAGAUCCGUUGCUGCUUCGUUUGGUACCACCAGACUGCGUCGAGGAUGAAGAAAAGCUUGAUCCAGAAUCUGAAGUCGAUGAUGUCUCUUUCCUUUUUCCUCGGGCGCUGCUUCCAGUUGCAAGCGUCAGCUCCAAGUCGCUCUCUCGGUAAGCCUCCACCGUCGUACUCACGUUUCUAUCUUUCUUCCCACUGAAUUCCCCUGCCGGCAGCUUCAGAUCAGGUGUCCGGUUAUGCGCAUCCGUCUUGUUGGUGUUGUUCAUCUCCCUCAUCAGCAGCUGCUGAACAUGGUACAAAUGGUGGAGUUCAUGCACCUGGACCGGGCAGCGGAAAAAAACUCAGAAUCUCCAGUAACUUCAUCCUGAUUCGACGGAGUUGUAAGCAGAAGAAGAAGAAGGUACCUGUUGUCUGAAGGUGGCUUCCUGCUUCAUGAUGGCCAUCUUCAAGUACUCUUUGUCAUACUGAUUCAUGUAUCUCCCCAUUGGCCCUCUGCGGUGUGUUGUUGUGGGAUGAAUGAUCUGUUGAAGUUAAACUCACUGUCAAUUACGAUGGAGGCUUAAUAAACAAGGAAACUGCUUUGAUCUUAUA
Long non-coding RNA from Musa acuminata AAA Group (dessert banana), 1138 nucleotides. RefSeq lists it as uncharacterized. The transcript is spliced from 2 exons. The record is from RefSeq and is a predicted model, not a curated record. NCBI's taxonomy places the organism in Eukaryota, Viridiplantae, Streptophyta, Magnoliopsida, Zingiberales, Musaceae.